AGGACUCCCAUGCGGGACAUCACAUCACAAGGGUCACUCAGAACUGGCUCAACUCCCAUCAAGCCAAGUUCCCAGGGGAGAUCACCCAGCUUGUCCUGCUAGAGCACUUUUUCAAUGUUCUCCCCAACGACAAGGCGACAACGCAUUCGUAUGUCAUCCAUAUCAACUUUCAAUGCCAUUUACUGCGUCUACCAUGGUGACCACGGGUAAUGGGGAAUCAGGGUUCGAUUCCACAGAGGGAGCCUGAGAAAUGGCUACCACUUGCAAGGAAGGCAGCAGGUGCGCAAAUGACCCACUCCCAAAGCGGGAAGGUAGUGA
This is a non-coding RNA of Pelobates cultripes (western spadefoot toad), 318 nucleotides long. NCBI's taxonomy places the organism in Eukaryota, Metazoa, Chordata, Amphibia, Anura, Pelobatidae. The record is from the annotation of a GenBank genome assembly.